This 497-nucleotide ribosomal RNA is filed under the name uncultured bacterium. Its description in RNAcentral is "partial 16S ribosomal RNA". It matches the Rfam family "Bacterial small subunit ribosomal RNA", at positions 28 to 507 of the family's 1533-position model. The record is from RNAcentral.
GAUGAACGCUGGCGGCGUGCCUAAUACAUGCAAGUCGAGCGGACAGACCAGCUUCUUCCUCCGGUUACGUGAUCGUCGAACGGGGAAGUGACACGUAGAUCACCUGCCUUUUGGACUCGAAUAACUUCUGGGAACGGGAGCUAAUACCGGAUAAUAGAUUGAACCGCAGGGUUCAAUAGUGAAAGACAGAUUUUCUGUUACUGGUAGGGGGAUCCGCGCCGGCUUAGCUAGUUGGUAGGGUAACGGCUUACUAAGGCAACGGUGGGUAGCCGACCGGAGAGGGUGAUCGGCGACACUGGAACUGAGACAGGGUCCAGACUCCGACGGGAGGCAGAAGUAGGGAAUGUUCCGCAAUGGGCGAAAGCCUGACGCAGCAACGGCGCGUGAGUGAGGAAGGUGUCCGGAUCGGAAAACUCUGUUACUAGGGAAGAACAAAUGUGUAAGUAACUAUGCAGGUCUUGACGGUACUGGAACAGAAAGCACCGGCUAACUACGUG